RNAcentral lists this ribosomal RNA (469 nucleotides) under uncultured bacterium. RNAcentral describes it as "bacterial SSU rRNA". It matches the Rfam family "Bacterial small subunit ribosomal RNA", at positions 28 to 497 of the family's 1533-position model. The record is from RNAcentral.
GAUGAACGCUGGCGGCGUGCUUAACGCAUGCAAGUCGAGCGAAGCACUUAAGUGGAUCUCUUCGGAUUGAAACUUAUUUGACUGAGCGGCGGACGGGUGAGUAACGCGUGGGUAACCUGCCUCAUACAGGGGGAUAACAGUUAGAAAUGGCUGCUAAUACCGCAUAAGCGCACAGGACCGCAUGGUCUGGUGUGAAAAACUCCGGUGGUAUGAGAUGGACCCGCGUCUGAUUAGCUAGUUGGAGGGGUAACGGCCCACCAAGGCGACGAUCAGUAGCCGGCCUGAGAGGGUGAACGGCCACAUUGGGACUGAGACACGGCCCAGACUCCUACGGGAGGCAGCAGUGGGGAAUAUUGCACAAUGGGGGAAACCCUGAUGCAGCGACGCCGCGUGAAGGAAGAAGUAUCUCGGUAUGUAAACUUCUAUCAGCAGGGAAGAAAAUGACGGUACCUGACUAAGAAGCCCCGGC